This 447-nucleotide ribosomal RNA is filed under the name uncultured bacterium. RNAcentral describes it as "bacterial SSU rRNA". It matches the Rfam family "Bacterial small subunit ribosomal RNA", at positions 330 to 792 of the family's 1533-position model. The record is from RNAcentral.
CCCAGACUCCUACGGGAGGCAGCAGUGGGGAAUCUUGCACAAUGGGCGAAAGCCUGAUGCAGCGACGCCGCGUGGGCGAAGAAGGCCUUUGGGCCGUAAAGCCCUGUCGGGAGGGAAGAAGGAAGCGACGGUACCUCCCAAGGAAGCCCCGGCUAACUCCGUGCCAGCAGCCGCGGUAAUACGGAGGAUGCGAGCGUUAUCCGGAUUUAUUGGGUUUAAAGGGUGCGCAGGCGGCACGGCAAGCCGGCGGUCAAAUCGCGGGGCUCAACCCCGCCCAGCCGUCGGAACUGCCGGGCUAGAGUGGGCGAGAAGUGCGCGGAAUGCGUGGUGUAGCGGUGAAAUGCAUAGAUAUCACGCAGAACUCCGAUUGCGAAGGCAGCGCACCGGCGCCCUACUGACGCUCAGGCACGAAAGCGUGGGUAUCGAACAGGAUUAGAUACCCUGGUA